GUAGAUAUGGAUUAGUGGUUAAAUCAGUGGGAUGUCUCCCCACCAACGCCGGUUCGAAUCCGGUUAUCUACC
Molecule: transfer RNA, 72 nt
Filed under: Ferruginibacter sp.
Lineage: Bacteria; Pseudomonadati; Bacteroidota; Chitinophagia; Chitinophagales; Chitinophagaceae
Description: tRNA-Asp
Rfam family: tRNA
About the family: Transfer RNA (tRNA) molecules are approximately 80 nucleotides in length.
Source: RNAcentral